This 1073-nucleotide ribosomal RNA is filed under the name Banksiola crotchi. RNAcentral describes it as "partial large subunit ribosomal RNA". It matches the Rfam family "Eukaryotic large subunit ribosomal RNA", at positions 71 to 840 of the family's 3401-position model. Lineage: Eukaryota; Metazoa; Arthropoda; Insecta; Trichoptera; Phryganeidae. The record is from RNAcentral.
GGGAUUCCCCGAGUAGCGGCGAGCGAAACGGGAAGAGCCCAGCGCUGAAUCCUGCGGCCCCGGCGGGCCGCCGGGAAAUGUAGCGUUCGGGAGGAGAGUUAUACAUACACGCGCGGUCAUUAGUCACGGCUGCCUGUCCAAGUUCAUCUUGAACGGGGCCCGCUUACCCGCAGAGGGUGCCAGGCCCGUGGUGACGGUAGCCGGCCGCGACGGUCUCUCUCCCUAGAGUCGGGUUGCUUGAGAGUGCAGCCCUAAGUGGGUGGUAAACUCCAUCUAAGGCUAAAUACUACCACGAGACCGAUAGCGAACANNGUGAGGGAAAGUUGAAAAGAACUUUGAAGAGAGAGUUAAAGAGUACGUGAAACCGUUCAGGGGUAAACCUGUGGAACUCAAACGAGCGAACGGGGAGAUCAUCGUGUCUUCCGCCGGGGCCCGCGUCCCGCGCCACACCUCCGCCUUCGGCUCUCGGGUCGGGGUGGGGGGUGCGCGGGUGCGCAGCCGGGUCCCCGGAGCGCGUGCACUUCUCCCUUAGUAUAACACCGCGACCCGUCGCGCCGCGGUCGAAUGCGCCGUGCGGUUGUCCCGUCUCGCUCUGCGAAGGCGGAGCCGCGGCGUCCACGGCCGCGGCGUACCAAUAUCAUACGCAGCGACGGUAGAGAACGAGGAUCGCGUCCGCCCCCAGCGGGCGUCCGUCGCGCCGCAGCGGUGUCCUUCGCGUGGCCCCCGGCUCCCAGUGGGUCGCGGGUGUCGCGUGUCGGGCGCCGUCGUUAGUGGCGCGCUCUCGGACGGGACGCGUCCCGGUCGGCGGUGGUUUUGUUUUGGGCACUCACAGGACCCGUCUUGAAACACGGACCAAGGAGUCUAGCAUGUGCGCGAGUCAUUGGGAACGUUGAUAAACCCAGAGGCGAAAUGAAAGUGAAAGGCCGGCCUCGAGCCGGUCGCAGGGAAGAUGCGCGGACGGCGUCAGCCGUCCCGCCGCAUUCCCGAGGCGUUUCGAGAAAGCCACCGUGCGAUUAUCGAGACGCACUGAGAGCGUACACGCUGGGACCCGAAAGAUGGUGAACUAUGCCUGG